ACACUGCGGUGUGAUUUAGAUUCCAGCCAUGUCUCGGUAUAUGCUAUAUAUAACUGUCGUUGCGGCUGUGACGUCGUGUUGUCUUCAGUGGGUCCAGUCUAACGACAGAAACACCGCCAUGGCUGACCUAGUCUCCGUAGAAUACGAGAUCUAACGUUACGGCGAAGUUCAAGGUGUCUUCUUUCGAGAUAACACCCGUAAGCAAGCCCGGCGACUGAAGCUGGUUGGGUGGGUGAAGAACACCCGGCACGGUACAGUAGCAGGGGUCGUACAGGGGCCCAGGGACGCUAUCAACCAGAUGAAGCACUGGCUGCAGCAUAUCGGGAGUCCGAUGUCGAGAAUCGAAGGGGCGUCUUUUGAGGAGAAGAGCAUCGCCCGGCUGGAGUUCGGAAACUUCGACAUUGCGUACGGACGUUAAGUGUGCCGGCACAAGUUCAAUGUGUGACCAGGGAAUCUUUUUGAACUACAUAUAUAUGAUUGUUAAAGAGCACCGUGAGCCUCAAUGUUCUUUCAGCUCCAUUUCAACCUUCUACGGCUGAAGAGUUUUUUGCUUUAUGUCAAACUUAUGUAAAACCGAAACUGAGGUAUAUCUGUGGCAAGGAUAAAAAUUCAUCGUAGUAAAGUUUUGAUUGAAAAUUCUA
Branchiostoma floridae (Florida lancelet) is the source of this 641-nucleotide long non-coding RNA. RefSeq lists it as uncharacterized. The record is from RefSeq and is a predicted model, not a curated record. The transcript is spliced from 4 exons. NCBI's taxonomy places the organism in Eukaryota, Metazoa, Chordata, Leptocardii, Amphioxiformes, Branchiostomatidae.